UGCACGUCCCCCCAUUCCCUAUUUAUACACCCCCCUUGCGGCUCCGCUCUCCCCCCGCUUCCUGCCCCCCCACUCCCCAGCUCCGCCAAUGCUAGCGCAGCCUGAGCCCCCGCCUCCCCACCCCGCCCGCGGGGCCGGGGGCUGCAGCCUCAACCCCCCCCCCGACCCCGACCAAUACGAUCCGAGCGACAAGCCAGCAAACCAGCUUCAGCGGCCCCUCCGCUGCCCGCCCCGAGUGUAGGCGAGCGUGCGGGAGGGGCGGCCCUAGCGUGUGGAUCUGAGCCCCCCCAGCCUGCCUUGCGCACCCACAGGUCGGGCGGGCAUCAGCACCCUGCCUAGCUCUCUUUGAUGGCCGAAAUCCUCAGAAGUCGCUUGCGACCUCCUCCCGCUCUGCAGCCCUAAGAAGGACGCGGGGUCCCGGCCCGACGCAGGCGGAACCUUGCUGCCCGCCUCAUACUGACCGAAGCAAAUGGCCUGCACGUCUCGAUAACUAGGGGAGAGAUAGGUCGUUUUCCCCACCCAACCGCUCCUUGUGCUUUGUGCCCUGGGGAGCGUGAAUUCGCCUCCUGAGGGAAGAGAGCAAAUGAUGGCGAUGGACAGGAUGGGCAAAACCACCGGCCCUUGCACAUCCCAGCAGUUUUGAGGGAAAGUAGGGAACCCAGGGAUCAAGAAGUGCCCUCGAUCUUCCCCAAAGCCAGAAGCAUGCCUAGCGCCAGCCGCCCUACAAAAUGCCGGGCACUCUGACCACGGACCCUGCGGCCAGGCCUGAGCGCUUUGUCCCUAGCCCGCCUGAGGAUGCUACCAGAUGAGGCUUGGACACGGAGGUUCGUCUGCUGGGGCCGCCGCUGAGCUAUUUAUUGGGCUCAGAGCCUGAGACUGUAGGCAAGGCACGUGUACGGGCGCGAAGUUCCCACAGUUAGUUGCAAGAGGAACGAAUUUCUAGGCUACACCUUGAAGAGAAACAAGAGCUCACACAGUCCCUGAGUCUGCCUCCUGCUGCUGGCCUGUUGGACCUUCUGCAGUUGCCAUGGCAACUGUGUACCUCAGUUUUGGCUCUGCACCAGCUGGAUAGCAAACUGAAGAGCAUCAUUGUCUCUCAGGCUAAGCAGAGCUGUCGAGGUCAUUCAUUCAUUAGAUUAAUAUUGAUUGAACACCUACUAAGCGCUUUGUUUUGUUUCGUGGGUUUUUUAGAAGCUGGAGAAUGCAGUUGUAAACAAAGUAGACUUCAGACCUUGCCACCAAGAAUUCCAAAGCCCAGAGAUGCAGAGAGACAAGAAAUAAGGACACAGAAAAGUCUUUGCUUCUCUCGGCAGUGCAAGUUUUCCGCUCGCAGCCCCUUCUGCUGGACCUGCCCCUGCAAAAGCCCGACGAGUGAAGCUCCUUUCCGACGAGUAAAGCUCCUUUCCGACGAGUGAAGCUCCUUUCAGCUGUCACAGCUCUGCUCUGCCUGUUCAUUUUCUCCCCUGGUUGUGAAAACCAAAGAAAUUUCAGGAAAUAUAUGAAAGCAACAGGAAAAAUUAAAUAAUCUGUGAUGCUACCACCAAGAGUUAAGAGCUACAAGCCAGGUGAUGGUGGCACAAGCCUUAAAUCCCAACGCUCAGAAGGCAGAGGCAAGUGGAUCCCUUUUUUUGAGACAGGGUUUCUCUGUAUUGUUUUGGAGGCUGUCUUUGAACUCCCUCUGUAGACGGGACUGGCCUCAAACUCAGAGAUCCGCCUGCCUCUGCCUCCCAAGUGCUGGGAUUAAAGGCCUGCGCCACCACUGCCUGGCACUCUUGUUUUUGUUUUUUUGCUUAUAAUUGUUUAAUAAACUUUUAAUUUAUUCCUAUAUAUAGUGAGCCUUGAUCACAUCUAAUCAAAAUGUUCCUUUUUACACACAUACACACACACACACACCCAGUACUUCUCCUUCUCACUUCCAUCUCUUUAUUUUAUUAAUAACUCACUGAGUCCAGUUGGUGCUGGGUUUGUGCCCACAGGUGUGGGACUCAACACCUAGGCAUGGAUACUCUCCCAGUGACUACACCCUCCAAGGAAAGUGACUCUGUCUCUCCCAGCAGCCAUUAAUGGUCAGCAGCUGCUCAGCUGGUGGUGGGACCUGCGGAGCACCUUCCAUCCACGAGCACCUUCUAUCCACGCUGGACUGUUGAGUGACUGCGGCUUGCUGUGCAGAUGAGCCCAGCUGCUGUGCGCAUUCUUGAGUGUAAUGGCCCUAUGGUGUCCAGGAGGCCGCAUUUCACAGGGCUCCUCCCACUUUCAAACAAACAAACGCAAAAGGAACUGAAACUAUGUUGCCCAGGCUGGCCUUUAACUCACAGUCUGAUGACUCCGUCUCCCAAAUAACUAGGAAAACAGGUUUCCAUUGCUGGGCUGUGACAAGGAAUGAAAGUCACCCACCUUCCCUAGAGGCCGCAUCCUUGUGCUCUACCAAUGAUCCUGUAUGAGCCAGAGGCUUAGAAGUCCUUGAUUUCCAUCCUGAAGGGUUAGCCUUUCUCCGCUGUGGUCUUGGGGCCCUAAGGACCUCGUCAUUCAUU
Molecule: long non-coding RNA, 2531 nt
Organism: Mesocricetus auratus (golden hamster)
Lineage: Eukaryota; Metazoa; Chordata; Mammalia; Rodentia; Cricetidae
Exons: 3
Source: RefSeq, a predicted model, not a curated record